This 323-nucleotide ribosomal RNA is filed under the name Allapsidae sp. RNAcentral describes it as "SSU rRNA". The stretch from base 106 to 323 matches the Rfam family "Eukaryotic small subunit ribosomal RNA", at positions 737 to 955 of the family's 1831-position model. The record is from RNAcentral. Lineage: Eukaryota; Cercozoa; Glissomonadida; Viridiraptoridae. RNAcentral also lists the same sequence under 1 other name.
GAUUUCUGGCCUGACGCGCCUGGCCCGCCAGCGUUAGCUGUGUGAGUGCCGGGACGCGUCUGCCAUCCUUCCAGAAAACGUUCCUGCUCUUCACUGAGUUGGGAACGCAAUCUGGAUCUUUUACUUUGAAAAAAUUAGAGUGUUUAAAGCAGGCUUUUUGCUAUGAAUACAUUAGCAUGGAAUAAUAAUUUAGGACUUCGGUUCUAUUUUGUUGGUUUCUAGAACUGAAGUAAUGAUUGAUAGGGAUAGUUGGGGGUGCUAGUAUUCAGCGGCCAGAGGUGAAAUUCUCGGAUUCGCUGAAGACUAACUUAUGCGAAAGCAUU